AAAGUGAUUUAACAAGUGACGUUGAUAUUACUUUAAAUUCAUCCAUUAUUAUAAAUCAGGUAGACACAGCCACAGAGAAUUUAUUGUGUGAUAGUAAUUCUACUGCAAUAGUUCAUAAGAAUCAUCUACAUGAAGGUGAUUUAACAAGAGAUAUUGAUAUUAAUUUAAAUUCAUCCAUUUCUAUAAAUCAGAUAUGCCCAGCCACAGAGAAUGUAUUGGUAAGGUUUUUAAUAUUAAAUAACUAGUAACUGCUAAUUAUAUUGGUCUUACAAACAAAUUAAACGCUUUUUAUUGCUAAAAGUAGGUUUUUAUUAUUAAUUUAGGUUUUUAGCUUUUUAUUAUUAAUUUAAUUUGAACUUAUAUUUUAGGAAAGUGAAUCUCUAGAGUAUCAUUUGCCAUCUAAUGAUGAAUUAUUCAAACUAAACAAAAAUCCUGAUAUCCUCCAAAAAUUAAACUUCAUCAAAAAACAUUCUGUCCAGCCAUCAUUCUUCAGCAAUAUCCAACUAGAUUUACAAAAGCUCUAUUUUAGAAAAACAUCAGAUGGCAAAAAAAUUUCACGAAAGUGGUUAUCAGUCCUCUGUAUUGAUAAUGAACUCAAAGCUGUAUACUGUCCGUUUUGUAUUGCAUUCAGUUCAUCUCCUACUACAUUUUCUAAUGGCUGUAAUAAUUUUAAACAUAUCCAUGAAGUUGUUAAAAUACAUGAAGAAUCGUUAACACACAGGCAUUCAGUAGAAGCCUAUAUUCAAUCGUCAAAUGAUAAGUCUGUUAAAUUUGGUAUUAAUUAAAUUAUUAUUUUGACUGAACUUUAUGUUGGAUUUUAGGUAACAACAAAAACAGCAUACAUGAUACUAACAAUUGUUUACAAUGUGUAUACAAACUUGUAUACAAUUUAAACAUGCAUGUCUCGGCUUAUACUCAACUAUGUGCUUCAUAUGAGUUUUUUCUAACUUUGUCAGUCACCGAAGUCAACUGCGAAAGGACAUUCAGCAAACUUAAGCUUGUUAAAACAAGACUCAGAGCCAAUAUAAGUCAAGAUAAUUUAGAAGCACUCUUAAUUAUGAGUGUUAAAAAACAAUUACUCAAUGAAAUUGAAAUUUCAAAUGUCAUUGAAUAUUUAAAAGCUAGUUCUACAGUAAUGACUAAAAUGCUUUCAAUAUAAAAUUGUCAUUUAAGUUUUGUUUUAUAUAAUUUAAGUAUUUUCUUAACUAUAAUAAAUAAUAAUGCAUUAAUUUGUAUGGAUUAUGAUUCUUCUUCUUCAUUCUCUGGCAUGACUACUCUCUAAGAGAUUUUGCUGACAUUACUAAACUUUGCCACCUAUCUCUAUCUAUGAAUUAUAUUAUAUGAAAAAAAUUGUUUUGAGUCUAA
Long non-coding RNA from Hydra vulgaris (swiftwater hydra), 1365 nucleotides. RefSeq lists it as uncharacterized. The record is from RefSeq and is a predicted model, not a curated record. NCBI's taxonomy places the organism in Eukaryota, Metazoa, Cnidaria, Hydrozoa, Anthoathecata, Hydridae.